RNAcentral lists this ribosomal RNA (492 nucleotides) under uncultured bacterium. Its description in RNAcentral is "partial 16S ribosomal RNA". It matches the Rfam family "Bacterial small subunit ribosomal RNA", at positions 29 to 507 of the family's 1533-position model. The record is from RNAcentral.
AGUGAACGCUGGCGGUAGGCCUAACACAUGCAAGUCGAACGGCAGCACCGUAAGAGCUUGCUCUUACGGGUGGCGAGUGGCGGACGGGUGAGGAAUACAUCGGAAUCUACUUUUUCGUGGGGGAUAACGUAGGGAAACUUACGCUAAUACCGCAUACGACCUACGGGUGAAAGCAGGGGAUCUUCGGACCUUGCGCGAGUGAAUGAGCCGAUGUCGGAUUAGCUAGUUGGCGGGGUAAAGGCCCACCAAGGCGACGAUCCGUAGCUGGUCUGAGAGGAUGAUCAGCCACACCGGAACUGAGACACGGUCCAGACUCCUACGGGAGGCAGCAGUGGGGAAUAUUGGACAAUGGGCGCAAGCCUGAUCCAGCCAUACCGCGUGGGUGAAGAAGGCCUUCGGGUUGUAAAGCCCUUUUGUUGGGAAAGAAAAGCAGCAGGUUAAUACCCCGCUGUUCUGACGGUACCCAAAGAAUAAGCACCGGCUAACUUCGUG